UUCAAAAGAUUCUUCUAAACCCUCCUCACUUCUUGCCAUAAACCCUUACCGCAUCUUCUUCCAAACGACGACGUCUUGCCUCAAACCUUAUUGCGUUUCCUUCGAACCUUCUUAGUUUCAUCCUCUCCAAACCGUGGUCGAACCAUCUCCAAACUCGCUAUCGCUUGCCCUCGGCAUAUGAUUGUGUGCACCUCGUGGCCUUGCCUUCCUCACUGUCCGUUCCUCGCCGCCGUUUCCCGCCGCAAAUUGAGCUGUUUGAGUACUAUUCUCUUGGAUUAUUCUUGCUUUGAUUUUGGUUGUAUUGCAUCAAGAUUAUGCCAUCUUCUGCUGUCUAAAGUAUCAGGUAUCACUGAUUUCUGGAAACAUUGAAUUCCACAGUCACGCCAUGAUCAUGGAGUCUUCUUCAUCCCAUGACUUGAAUUUGGGAUCCAUCUCAUCCGAUGCAUUACCAGUCAGUUCUCCAGCCGUCUGGAUUCUAUCCCCAGUUUCCAGGUUCACCACUUCAGCCAUGACUAGGUGCACUCACGAUAAGCAAUGAAGGCUUGACGGUGGCACAACAAUAAAGGCUGGUGCAGUUUUAGGUUAAAGGAUGAAGAUGUCAUUGGUUCAACCUCUUUUGACAAGGUGAGGAUUCAGCAUGAGCUCUGAGAACCUUGUUGCUUCUGUGCUCCUUGUGAGACGACCAGUGGUCAUUCCGAAAAUUGAUCCUGUAGUUUACGCAUUUCAAGAAUUCUCAUAUCCUGAUGAAUUUCUAGACAAAUCUGAAGCAAGGUACUCCAGGGGGAAAAGGGGAUUAUCAGAUUGACUAUGUGCCAGCACCACGAUUCACUGAAGCUGACAAAAACAAUGAUAAAAGUGGCGAGUGACCAUAUGGUUGUUCAGCCUACAGAAGACCAGUCUGGAUCCACAUCUUAUAUGAGAUUCUUCUUCAAAUCUCAAGUAAUUGCUAAAAACAAGUUCAACAUUGCAAAAUGUGAGGAUUUUGUCUGGGUGACAAAGGAUGAAUUGAUGGAGUAUUUUCCUGAGCAAGCUGAAUUUUUUAACAAGAUGAUCAUUAACUGAUGACAAUGGAGGACAUUUGUUUUGUUGAAACACUUGCAAAUUAUCACAGAAUGGUUGUGAAUAACCUUGAAAGAACAUCAAACUACCAUAAUGUUUCAGGGCACAUCUCGAUUUAAAGUUUGGAUAUCUAUCUUUCCACUUCAUCAAAUCUUGUUUUUUAAUUUCAAAGUAAAUUGUUUUUCUGCCUUCCCUAGAUUAUAA
Vigna angularis (adzuki bean) is the source of this 1263-nucleotide RNA transcript. RefSeq lists it as uncharacterized. The transcript is spliced from 9 exons. Lineage: Eukaryota; Viridiplantae; Streptophyta; Magnoliopsida; Fabales; Fabaceae. The record is from RefSeq and is a predicted model, not a curated record.